Molecule: transfer RNA, 67 nt
Filed under: Parrhinotermes microdentiformis
Lineage: Eukaryota; Metazoa; Arthropoda; Insecta; Blattodea; Rhinotermitidae
Description: tRNA-Arg
Source: RNAcentral
AAGUAAGAAGCAAUCCUGCAAUCAGUUUCGACCUGAUAAUUUGAUGUUACCAACACAUCCUUACUUU